UAUUAAGCAAUGAAUAGGAUGAGUAGAUUUAUUAUAGCUAUUUUAGAGAAAAAGUGGUUGGUGAAAACUUUAUGGCUGUAUAUCUUGAAGCUGCCUAGGAGCUUAUUGAUUACUAAGUGGUGUAUGAAAUUCGUACGCAAUUAGGGUGGUACCGCGGAAUUUAAGCUUUCGUCCCUAUU
This 179-nucleotide non-coding RNA is filed under the name Clostridium chromiireducens. RNAcentral's name for it is "T-box sequence". It matches the Rfam family "T-box leader". Rfam says of the family: Uncharged tRNA acts as the effector for transcription antitermination of genes in the T-box leader family. T-boxes are found upstream of many aminoacyl-tRNA synthetase genes and some amino acid biosynthetic genes usually in Gram-positive bacteria. The anticodon of a specific tRNA base pairs to a specifier sequence within the T-box motif, and the NCCA acceptor tail of the tRNA base pairs to a conserved bulge in the T-box antiterminator hairpin. The record is from RNAcentral. Lineage: Bacteria; Bacillati; Bacillota; Clostridia; Eubacteriales; Clostridiaceae.